UAAUAAGUGUUUUAUGGCACUUUUUAAAUCCAUAUCCACCUUGUGUGCAAUGUCAGUCGAUCUUCUUCAUGGAGAUCGACCAAACAUCAACCUUUAUCUUUUAACUCUUUGUCCGAAAAAUAUUAUGAAUAAACAAUUCAAAAUA
RNAcentral lists this unclassified non-coding RNA (145 nucleotides) under soil metagenome. Its description in RNAcentral is "partial internal transcribed spacer 1". The record is from RNAcentral.